GAUGAACGCUGGCGGCGUGCCUAAUACAUGCAAGUCGAGCGAACAGACGAGGAGCUUGCUCCUCUGACGUUAGCGGCGGACGGGUGAGUAACACGUGGAUAACCUACCUAUAAGACUGGGAUAACUUCGGGAAACCGGAGCUAAUACCGGAUAAUAUAUUGAACCGCAUGGUUCAAUAGUGAAAGACGGUUUUGCUGUCACUUAUAGAUGGAUCCGCGCCGCAUUAGCUAGUUGGUAAGGUAACGGCUUACCAAGGCAACGAUGCGUAGCCGACCUGAGAGGGUGGUCGGCCACACUGGAACUGCGACACGGUCCAGACUCCUACGGGAGGCAGCAGUAGGGAAUCUUCCGCAAUGGGCGAAAGCCUGACGGAGCAACGCCGCGUGAGUGAUGAAGGUCUUCGGAUCGUAAAACUCUGUUAUUAGGGAAGAACAAAUGUGUAAGUAACUAUGCACGUCUUGACGGUACCUAAUCAGAAAGCCACGGCUAACUACGUG
Molecule: ribosomal RNA, 497 nt
Filed under: uncultured bacterium
Lineage: Bacteria
Description: partial 16S ribosomal RNA
Rfam family: Bacterial small subunit ribosomal RNA
Source: RNAcentral